Long non-coding RNA from Lotus japonicus, 1207 nucleotides. RefSeq lists it as uncharacterized. NCBI's taxonomy places the organism in Eukaryota, Viridiplantae, Streptophyta, Magnoliopsida, Fabales, Fabaceae. The record is from RefSeq and is a predicted model, not a curated record. The transcript is spliced from 2 exons.
UCUCAGUGACAUUUUCAUUUUUUUUCCAAGACGCAAGGACACUGGUCUCGCAUCGAGGGUUUUUGCGGUAAAGGAAUCGAUCGAUAUUGACAUUGUUCGUUUGAAGAAGAAGAAGAGUCUUCGAUUUCAACUCGUUUUCUGGAAUGAAUGAAAAGCAGACAUUUGUAUUAGCAAAGUUAUAAAGCCUUCCCGGUGCACACUUGAGAGGGUCAACCAGCUCAUGAAUCCUGGUGGAAAAAUCUGGAAUGUGGGCAGAAUUAGAAGGGUAUUCUCGGGUUUCGAUGCAUCAAAAAUACUGCAGAUUCCGCUUACGGCGAGGCCAACUAAUUUGGAGAGAUAACCGGAAUGGCCUGGAUAGUGUGAAAUCAGGAUAUAGAAUUCUCAGAAAUAUGCACUCAAACCAACAAUCUCCAGGUCCUUUGAAUUCAAAUGCCUCGAAGUUGUGGAAAAAAUAUGGAGUAUAAAUGUGCUUCCAAGAUGUAAGGAGAUGGUCUGGAGAGCUUGCAACGAGGUGCUUCCCCGCCGUGAACGUAAACCUUAAGAGAAGAGGAACCAAUACUGAGACAAUCGGCCCCUGCUGCGGGGAGGAGGAUGAAACCACGGUAUAUGCUCUUCUACAAUGUCGGGGAAUCCGAAGAACCUGGUUUGCAUCAAAUGCUCUUCUACACAUUGGCCUCCAUCUUUAAUCUUAUAUGGGCCAUAUGGUGCAAAAGAAAUGCAUGGAACUUUGAAGGACAACAAUGGUGCAUAGAGAAGACCCUGGCGAAAGCAAAAAGCAUGGGAGCAAGAGGCGAACUGAAUUCUGAGUCUUUGACCCGAAGCUUCCUCCUCCCAUUUGGACUCCUCCACCGGAUGGAUGCUUUAAGCUCAAUAUUGAUGCUGCAAUUAAAUGCAAUGAAGGAACAGGCUUGGGCGCAAUAAUCAGAAACAGUAGAGGCUUAACAAUGGCAGCGGAAACUUGGAAGAUUGAAGAAAUCGAAGAUCCUACUCUAGCUGAAGCUGCUGGAAUCAGAUGGGCACUUAAAUGGGCAAAAGAAAUCUGCUUUGAUCAAAUUCUUGUGGAAACAGAUUGCCUUUUGUUCUGUCAGCAAUGGGAAAACAGAAUUCCUGGAAUUUCUUACCUUGAUGAUGUAGUUAGAAAGUGUAGAAUCCUCUCUUCAUGUUUUAGUGUUUGUAGUCUCCCAUGUGAUCCUGCAACAUAGCUGCU